UACGUAGGGGGCAAGCGUUAUCCGGAUUUACUGGGUGUAAAGGGAGCGUAGACGGUUGUAUAAGUCUGGAGUGAAAGCCCGGGGCCCAACCCCGGGACUGCUUUUGAAACUGUGUUGCUAGAUUGCAGGAGAGGUAAGUGGAAUUCCUAGUGUAGCGGUGAAAUGCGUAGAUAUUAGGAGGAACACCAGUGGCGAAGGCGGCUUACUGGACGAUGACUGACGCUGAGGCUCGAAAGCGUGGGGAGCAAACAGG
RNAcentral lists this ribosomal RNA (253 nucleotides) under uncultured Eubacteriales bacterium. RNAcentral's name for it is "uncultured Clostridiales bacterium partial 16S ribosomal RNA". It matches the Rfam family "Bacterial small subunit ribosomal RNA", at positions 524 to 776 of the family's 1533-position model. The record is from RNAcentral. Lineage: Bacteria; Bacillati; Bacillota; Clostridia; Eubacteriales.